RNAcentral lists this ribosomal RNA (251 nucleotides) under uncultured bacterium. RNAcentral's name for it is "partial 16S ribosomal RNA". It matches the Rfam family "Bacterial small subunit ribosomal RNA", at positions 82 to 334 of the family's 1533-position model. The record is from RNAcentral.
CUACCGCCGGCGACCGGCGCACGGGUGCGUAACGCGUAUGCAACCUACCUUUAACAGGGGCAUAACACUGAGAAAUUGGUACUAAUUCCCCAUAACAUUCGAGAAGGCAUCUUCUUGGGUUAAAAACUCCGGUGGUUAAAGAUGGGCAUGCGUUGUAUUAGCUAGUUGGUGAGGUAACGGCUCACCAAGGCAACGAUACAUAGGGGGACUGAGAGGUUAACCCCCCACACUGGUACUGAGACACGGACCAG